AGAGUUKGAUCCUGGCUCAGAACGAACGUUGGCGGCGUGGAUUAGGCAUGCAAGUCGAGCGGGAUUAGCUUUAUUCAAUUCUUCGGAAGAGAAAAUUGCUAUGAGAGCGGCGAACGGGUGAGUAAUAUAUGGGUAAUUUGCCUCUUUGUUCGGGAUAGCCAUCGGAAACGAUGAUUAAUACCGGAUGUGAUCGGUCACUGCAUAGUGACCUCUUUAAAGGUGGGGAAUCUUCGGAUCCUAUCGCAAAGAGAUAAGCCCAUACCCUAUCAGCUAGUUGGUGAGGUAAUGGCUCACCAAGGCUUACGGGUAGCUGGUCUGAGAGGAUGGUCAGCCACACUGGGACUGAGACACUGCCCAGACUCCUACGGGAGGCUGCAGUCGAGAAUCAUUGACAAUGUACGAAAGUAUGAUCAUGCGACGCCGCGUGGAGGAAGACGGCCUUCGGGUUGUAAACUCCUGUCAGCAGGGAGGAAAGGCAGCACUACUAAUAUCAGUGUUGUUUGACAGUACCUGCAGAGGAAGUCACGGCUAACUCUGUGCCAGCAGCCGCGGUAAUACAGAGGUGGCGAACGUUGUUCGGAUUUACUGGGCGUAAAGGGUCCGCAGGCGGUCCGGUGUGUCGGAUGUGAAAGCCCACGGCUUAACCGUGGAAUUGCAUUCGAAACUACCGGACUAGAGUACUGGAGGGGAGAAGGGAACACUUGGUGUAGCGGUGAAAUGCGUAGAUAUCAAGUGGAACAC
RNAcentral lists this ribosomal RNA (741 nucleotides) under uncultured bacterium. RNAcentral describes it as "bacterial SSU rRNA". It matches the Rfam family "Bacterial small subunit ribosomal RNA", at positions 8 to 709 of the family's 1533-position model. The record is from RNAcentral.